RNAcentral lists this ribosomal RNA (297 nucleotides) under Triticum aestivum (bread wheat). RNAcentral's name for it is "partial small subunit ribosomal RNA". The record is from RNAcentral. Lineage: Eukaryota; Viridiplantae; Streptophyta; Magnoliopsida; Poales; Poaceae.
AUGGCGACGCUCCGAUCCGCCCUCCGGCACCUUGCACCGGCCGCUCGCUUCCUCAGCAAGGGCGGCAGCUCUGGGCCUAGCUUCACCGCCGUCAGGCGGAAGCAUUCCACCGGCGGCGGCGUAUUCUAUAGUACGAUACUGUGGGACGAACCCUUCGAUUUGAGAACGCCGGUGACCUGGUUUGCAAUCAUCGCCACCGCCAUAGGAGCUACUUACAGGAUAAAAGUGCAGACGACUGAUCAUGAAAAGCAGAAGGCAUGUGGACACGAGGAGGGGAAGAAAAGUGUUAGCAUCUGA